RNAcentral lists this long non-coding RNA (14087 nucleotides) under Populus tremula. RNAcentral describes it as "long non-coding RNA (PTRE_LNC001028)". Lineage: Eukaryota; Viridiplantae; Streptophyta; Magnoliopsida; Malpighiales; Salicaceae. The record is from RNAcentral.
GCAAGGCCUCACUAAAGUGGAUGUAUCCUAUAACAAGCUAGAGGGCCCCAUUCCUGACGUCAAAGCCUUUCGCGAGGCACCAUUUGAAGCAAUUCGCAACAACACCAACCUGUGUGGCAAUGCAACUGGUUUGGAGGCUUGUUCUGCUCUCAUGAAAAACAAAACUGUGCACAAGAAGGGCCCCAAAGUUGUCUUUUUGACAGUAUUUUCUCUGCUGGGUAGUUUGUUGGGCCUGAUUGUAGGUUUUCUUAUCUUUUUCCAAAGCAGAAGAAAGAAAAGGUUAGUGGAAACACCACAAAGAGAUGUUACCGCGAGAUGGUGCCCUGGUGGGGAUCUGCGCUACGAGGACAUCAUUGAGGCUACUGAGGAAUUCGACUCCAAAUAUUGCAUUGGUACUGGAGGGUAUGGAGUUGUAUACAAAGCUGUACUUCCAUCAGAACAAGUCCUUGCCGUGAAGAAAUUCCACCAAACACCAGAAGUGAGAUGAGCAGCUUGAAAGCUUUUAGAAGCGAGAUUGAUGUCUUAAUGGGUAUACGGCAUCGAAACAUUGUGAAGCUGUAUGGUUUCUGCUCGCAUGCCAAACACUCAUUUUUGGUAUAUGAAUUUGUGGAAAGGGGAAGUUUAAGAAAGGUACUGAACGACGAGGAACAAGCAGGAAAGAUGGAUUGGGAUAAAAGGAUGAAUCUUAUCAAAGGCGUAGCCAAUGCUUUAUCCUACAUGCACCAUGACUGCUCCCCUCCGAUUAUUCAUAGAGACAUUUCCAGCAACAAUGUUCUUUUGGAUUCAGAAUAUGAGGCUCAUGUCUCUGACUUCGGCACAGCAAGGCUCUUAAUGCCUGACUCGUCCAAUUGGACAUCAUUUGCUGGCACCUUUGGGUACACAGCUCCAGGUAUGUAGUUAAGUUUCAAUAUCACUUGAAAACAAAAUAGGUGCAGUAAAUUAUUUUGGCAAAGCAUAGCAUGACCAGCCUCUUUUGCAGAGUUGGCAUACACAAUGAAAGUGGAUGAGAAGUGUGAUGUGUAUAGCUUUGGAGUAUUAACAUUAGAAGUAAUGAUGGGAAAGCAUCCUGGCGAUUUCAUCUCAUCUCUGAUGUUAUCUGCCUCCACCUCCUCAUCAUCACCAAUUGGUCACAAUACAGUCUUGAAGGAUGUCUUAGACCAGCGCCUCCCACCUCCUGAAAACAAGCUUGCGGACGGUGUGGCACAUGUUGCAAAACUGGCGUUAGCUUGCUUGCAGACCGAUCCUCACUAUCGGCCAACAAUGCGACAGGUUUCUACAGAGCUUACAACUCGAUGGCCUCCAUUGCCAAAGCUAUUCUCCACGAUGGAAUUGGAAGAUAUAAUGGUUCGCAGAAAUGUUAUUGGCUGAAUUUUUACAGUAUACUUUCCUGUCAAGGAGCCAGUAGCUCUGAUCAGCUGGUAAUUGAGUCCCCCUCCUCUCAAGAGGUGUUAUUGCCAGUCUUGGAUAUUCAGUCCAAAGUCUUACAUUUCGUCUAUUUCUUCGCCUACUGCUUGUGUAUAUUAAAUGCAAGAAACAGAGUUUUCUCAUUUCGAACUUAAAUUCGCCAGAUGAAAUAUUUCACAUAUUUUUAGUUUUCGUGAGCAACAAUGGAAGAAAUCAACAUAUUUUCUCCUCUUUUUUUUUCCCAAUAAACGAAAAUGAAUUAUAAUAAGCUAUUGGUUAUAUUUAUUUUUAAUUGGUAAUGAUAAUAAGCUUCUUUCAAUAUAGCCAUAUUAGUAAUAUAACUAAAAAUAUGACGAUUUAAUAAAAACCACUCCCAUUAAUUUCCACAAUCAAACAAAACUUGUUCUAAAAGAAGUGGCCAAUGCUUUCUAUUUUCUUAAAUAAUUGACAAAUUUUCCAAAUUUGAGAUUUCAUAGCGAAUGUCACCAUUGAUAGGUGAAGCCCAAAGACAAGGAUUUUUUAUUUUUUUUUCUCAAAGGAAACUUCCCUUCAAGAAUGGCAAACUUCGUACAGUUGUCGUGUCAUUACUAUUCAAAAGGAAAUUCUGGACUGAAAAAGACAACCAGAACCAUAGCAUCAUUACCUAAGAAACUUGUCCCUGCUAAUCAGAUUCUUCUCGCAAGCAGGUACUGGCAAAACUAAAUUUAAUUAUUUACUAUUCAUAAAUAAUAAAUAAUUUAAUUAUAUUUAUCAUAUAUUUUAAAAUAUUGUAAUAUCUAUUAUAACUAUAUUUAUUUAUAUCAUCUUUAUUAUUUUUAAACAGAAAUGGUGAUCUCUUUUACACAUUAAAAAUACCUAACUCAAAUUUUAUAAAUUUUAAUAGCUUUUCAACUUUAUAACCGGAGCUUAAGAUUUUUUAUUGAUUAAAAUUUAAAAUUGUUUAUUAUAAAACUAAAAUACAAAAAAAAGUAAUAAAAAAUAAAUACUGUAUUUAUUAUCCAGAAUUUGAGACCAUUGACUGUGACAUUAGUAACCUUUGUUCUUGCAUUGGUGAUGGGCUUGAGGGUGAAUGUGAAAUUGAAAAUAACCAUUUUGGACUAAACGACGCCGUUUCGUGUCCACUAUUCAUCACCUUCUUCGUGGAUUAAUUCAGCAGAAAGGAAACUGCCUCAAACCGGUUGCAAUCAUGUACCACGUCUCCUACACGAUGCAUCUCCAAAUAUGCCUCACCCCCAUGAUCAUUGUCUGGGCAGAAAGAGAGGACAUUCAGAGAAAAGACCACAAAAAAGGGGUCGCCGAGCGUUCUGGAAGGGGGAGAGACGGUAGAAAAAAACGAAAAAACCAGAGGAGGAGAGAACGAACAAGGGGGGGUUUUUUUCGGAAGCUGAGAAAAAUCACAGAAAACAGAGAGAACACAAACAGAGGAGGAAAAAAACCAGAGAACAGGGAUGUAAACAGAGGACAGACGAAAACAAAAGAAAGGGAAUAAAGGCCAGAGAGAAAGACCAGAACAGUUGUGAUGAUUCAACAGGAUUAAGAACAACUGAAUUUUAUUCCAAGUGAAUACUGUCACUUUUACAGAAGCUUUAAGUGCCAAAAAGAGUAAUACAAGGUAUAUUUGAUGAUCAAAAUAGUAUCAAUGACUGAAAAUAAAUUGAAAUUGGACUUGGCUAGGAUGGGAGCAAAUUCACCUGAAUUUCUCUCUUUUCACACACACAAAGUGUAUUGUUCUUCUUCUCUAGUUUUUCAUUCGGUUACAGUGCAUUAUAUGCAUGCAAAGUGCUCGUCCGUACUUGUAAUAAAAGGCUUUACAGGUUUCUUACACGUGUCUAUUGACACGUUACUAAUUGAAAAAUGAAACGGUGCAUUUGUGAAUUCAACUCUUUUCCUGCUAUGGCUCUGUUCAAAUCUAUUCCCCUGUUUCUUCAAGAUUCAUCGUUAGAAGAGUUACUGUUGGCAGCAUGUAACAACAGGAGGACACAACUCGAGGGGACGAACAGCACAGGGGAGACCUGGAAACGCAAACAGAGGCGAACGAACAGAAACAAACCUGGAAAUAAAGAACAAAGAAAGCAAAAGAAAAGCAAGAAGAGGGGAGGGUAACAGAAGCAGAAGGGAGGGUAACAUCAGCUAGAAAGAACAAGCCUCCAUCAGGGGAGGGUAAUAGAAACUGUGAACAAGGAAUUUGAAAAUUGGACUGCAAAUCAGUAUUUCGGGUAUGGUUUUUUCUCAUAUCGUUUUAAACAAGAAAAUCUACUUUUGGAAUUGUUUUUGUUUGGGUAUGCUAGCUAAACGUCAAGCUAUUAAAAAGAUGCUUAUUCACCAUGAGAUUGAUGUUUAUUUUCUACUUGAGACUAAGCCGGCAGCCUGCACAGAUAAAUUUUGUCAACUUUCUGUGGAAUGAACAGAAUAUUAGAUGGACUUCUAUAGAUGCUGUUGGGAAAUCCGGUGGUGUUUUCGUCUUAUGGAAUGAUAAGAACUUCAGAGUUAACUCAAUAGAAUAUGGGGGACAGUGGAUUGCUAUCUUUGGUGUUCAUUCUUCUUCAGUUUUUAAAAACGACGAACUUCCUAGAAUGAGCUUACCAUGCUAAAAUCAGCCUUUGAAGUUCUUAGUAGGGGACUUUAAUGAGACCUUACACCCAAGUGAAAGGAGUAGUGGGUUCUUAAAUGUUACUGGUUCAAAGUCCUUCAAGUCUUUUCUUUCUAAUUGCGACUUCCUUGAGUAUCCUCUUGCUGGGCAUCGUUAUACAUGGUUUGGGGCAGAUCAAUGAGCAGAAUAGACAGAAGUCUUGCAUCUCCAUCUUGUCUCUUAGAAUUACCUUUACUGUCUUUGACUAGAUACCCCUAGAGGACUGUCCGGUCCCUGUCAUUUAGUUCUUGGCCAGAUUCGUGAGAAUUGGGGGUGGAGGCCAUUUUGUUUUAUGAAUUGCUGGACUGUCUUGCCACGAUUCAUGAAAGAUCUGGAGACUUUCUGGAGAUAAUGCGAGCUAAAACAUCCUGGAAAUUUCGCACUGGUUAAGAAAUUGAGUUUGUUGGCGCAUAAAUUUCGAACCUGUAACCAUGAUGUCUUUGGUAAUCAGGAUAACAGGCUUCGGGAGUUGCAGGAUAAAAUACAUAAGUUGGAAGAAGAGAUGGAGGUCCGUGACCUAUCAGAAACUGAGAGGAUCGAAUUAUAUGCCUUAAACAGACAACAAUGGGAUGUUAGCAAACAUGUUGAAGCUAUUUGGAGGCAAAAAUCAAGAAAGAACCGGUGUAAAUUAGGGGACAGGAAUGUUAAACUAAUUGAGAUCAAACACAAAAAGGAGGCUAGAAUUCUGAAUCAACUGUAUAUUAUGAAUGCAUAGUCUUAACCUAAUUAUAAAUAAAGUAUAUAUAGGUUAAACUGAAAGUACUAUUCUACCCUUAAUAAAUAAGACAACAUAAAUAUUAUUUAACAUCUCCCCUCAAACUCACAAUGCGGCAGCUACAAGCAUCGAGAGUUUGCCAACUAGAAAACGAAAACGAGAUAUGGAAUGCGCCUUGGUAAAGAAAUCUGCAAUCUGCAAUGAAAAAGGAACAAAAGGCAAAGUAAUGGUUCCAUGCUUGAGAUGAUGACGAGUAAGAUGACAAUCGAUUUCAAUGUGCUUAGUCCGCUCAUGAAAAACCGAGUUGUGAGCAAUCUGAAUAGAACUCUGGUUGUCACAAUACAUAGGAGUAGGAUGGGAAAAGGAAACUCCCAUAUCAGCAAGUAACCAACGUAACCAAAUAAUCUCUUUGGUAGUAGAUGCAUGGCACGAUAUUCUGCUUCGGUGGAUGAUUGAGAAACAAUAGAUUGUUUCUUGCUCUUCCAAGAAAUAAGAGAAUCACCUAAAAAGAUACAAAACCCGGUAACAGACUUGCGAUCUGUGGGAUCACUACCAUGAUCAGCAUCAGAGUAUGCACGCAACUCCAAGGAAGAGGUGGAUGAAAGUAAAAGACUUUGAAAAACUGUACCCCGAAGAUAUCGCAAAAUACGAAGAACAGCUGCCCAAUGAACAGUAGUAGGAGAAGCAACAAACUGACUAACAACAUGAACAGCAUAUGCAAUAUCUGGACGAGUAAUGGUGAGAUAUACCAAACUCCCAACAAUAGUGCGGUAUAAAGUAGGAUCUAUCAAAGGUAAACCAUCAGAAGAAGAGUACCUUGCGUUAACCUCAAUAGGAGUAUCCACAGUCUUGUUAUCAGUAAGUCUAGCCCGCUCAAGAAUAUCUGCAACAUAUUUCGACUGAGAAAGAAGGUAACCUCUAGGUGAGUAUGCUACCUCAAUACCCAGGAAAUAUCGAAGAUAACCCAAAUCCUUCAUCUCAAAUCGUCUAGCCAACUCUGUCUUCAAAACUGAAAUACCAUCAAUGUCAUCACCAGUAAUAAUCAUGUCAUCAACAUAUAAAGACAGAAUGAUACGACCUGCAUCAGUGCACUUAAUAAAAAGAGCAGAAUCAUGACUGCUAGAAACAAAGCCAAGUGACGAGAUCACAAUAGAGAAUUUCUCAAACCAAGCACGGGUGCUUGUUUGAGACCAUAUAAUGCUUUCUUAAGCUUACAAACAUAUCCAGAGUCAUGUGAAAUACCAGGAGGGGGUGCCAUAUAAACUUCUUCUUGAAGAUCUCCAUUCAAGAAGGCAUUUUUAACAUCAAGUUGAGAAAUAUGCCAUUGACGAAUCGAAGCUACGGCAAUAAGAGUACGAAUAGUAGUCAUUUUUGCAACCGGAGCAAAUGUCUCCUCAUAGUCCAUACCAUACUGUUGAGAGUAUCCUUUGGCAACCAACCUAGCUUUAUAUCGCUCAAUAGACCCAUCAGAAUUAGUCUUGAUCUUAUACACCCAACGACAACCAACAACACUCUUACCAGGAGGUAGAGGAACCAGAUCCCAAGUAUCUGUCUUAUGCAAUGCAGAAAGUUCCUCAUCCAUAGCUUGCUGCCAAAGCGGAUCAAGAAUUGCCUCUUUAUAGGAAGAGGGCUCAACAAGACAAUGAAUAGAGGCUAAAAAGGAAGUAAAUGAUGAAGAAUAACAAGAAUAAGCAAAAUCUGGUAGUUUUGUGGACUUACGAAUACGGAUGGACUGACGUGGAGGUGGAUCCACAAUCUCAGAUGAAGCUUGAGGGGCUGUAGAUGAGAAUGGAGCUUCAGGUGUGCCAGAGAGUAAAGUACCAGUACCUGCAGAGUUAUGAGUACAAAUUGAUCGAACAUGGGGAGAGCUAUCAUUACCAGAAUCCUCAGAAAAUGGAUCUAUACUAAUAAGAUCAGAUUUAGUCAGGUUAUGAGUAGUGGAUGGAAUAGAAAAGAAAGGUAUAUGCUCAAGGAAGACAACAUGACGAGACACAUAAAGUUUCUGAGUUAUUGGAUCAAAACAACGAUAACCCUUUUUACCUUCACCAUAGCCCAAAAAGACACAAAUAGCGGAUCGAGAGGAUAGCUUACUUCGUUCUACAUGAGGACGAAGAACGAAACAAGUACAACCAAAGACUCUAAAUGAGGAAUAAUCAGGGACAUACCCAUAUAACUUUUCAAAAGGAGAUAGACCCGAACUAUGAGAAGAUGGAAUUGUAUUAAUCAAGCUUACAGCAGUAAGAACAGCUUCUCCCCAAAACUCACUAGGAACAAAAGCAGACAACAAGAGAGAACGAGCAGUUUCGACAAUGUGCCUAUGUUUUCUUUCAGCAACACCAUUUUGCUCAGGAGUAUCUGUACAUGAAGUUUGGUGGAUGGUUCCAUCUAGGGCAAGCAAUUGGCAAAAUUUAUUAGAAGUGUAUUCCCCACCUAAAUCACACCUAAAGCAUUUGAUCACAGUAGAAUAUUGAGUUUUGAUAAGAGCUCGAAAAGCUGCAUAUAUCUCAAAGAAUUCAGAACGAUGUUUCAUUAAAUAAACCCAACAAUAACGAGUAUGAUCAUCAAUAAAAGAGACAUAAUAUCGAGACCCUCCUUUUGUGGCAACAGGAGAAGGUCCCCAUACAUCAGAAUGAAUCAAAUCAAAUGGUGAAGAAGAAACAGAAAUACUUCGAUUAAAAGGUAAGGCGGAAAAUUUUGCCAAUUUACAUCCACUACAAUCAGAAAUGUCACAAGUUUUCAAAUUUCCUAAAGCUCCUGUGGAUGCCAAAAAUCUCAAACGAGAAGACGAAACAUGACCUAGACGGGAAUGCCAUAAAUAAAAACUAGAAGAUGAAAUACUCAAACGAAAGGAAGACAAAUCAACUGUAGUAGUAGCAGCGGCAGCAGCAGCAACUGACACUUUUAACUCAUCCAAAAUAUAUAGUCCAUUCUCCCUACGGCCUGUCCCAAUCAGCUUCUGAGACUGCAGAUCCUGUAUACAACAAAAGGAACCAGAAAACAUGACUAAAUAAUCACCAGAAUCACAUAUUUGACCAACAGACGCAAGAUUCAAUUUGAGUUGUGGAAUAAGAUAAACAUUAGGGAGAGACAUGUGAGGUGUGACAACAGAACCAACACCUGCUAAGGGCAUUUGAGUGCCAUCAGCAGUCAUAACAGGAAUGGAGGACAAAGGGGAUACAGAGGUAAAAGAUGAGGAAUCUGGAGACAUAUGAUGAGAAGCACCAGAAUCCAAGACCCAUUCAGAAUGUGACAUACCUGAGGAACUAUGAGGCAACUGACCUAUGGAAGAAGAAGCGGACAUUGCUUGUGGCUGCAAGGAGAGAAACUUCUGAAAUUGCUCAGCCAAAAUAUUAGGAUCGGUAAUAGAACUCGAGGAAGCUACUGCUGCAGUAUUGUGGUGUUGUGGUUUAUAACCCUGAGGUGGUCUAUGAGCAUUAGAUUGUGACUGAUUGCCAGGCUUCCAAGCUUGAUUCUGAUGUCUCAACUUAGGACACUGAGCCUUCCAAUGACCUUUCUGCUUACAGAAGCUGCACUCAUCGAAGCCAACCCUUGUGUGAGACUUAUUCUGAUGAUUAGAGAAUGACCUAGAAGGUACUGCUAGUACAAAGGAUUUGAAGCAGAAAGAAUUCCUUUUUCAGAAUAAGACUGAAAACGUAUUUCUUCAGCCAAUAACUCACUGACAACAGAGUCAACAGAAGGCAGUGGAGAACGAUGCAGAAUUGAACCUCUAAGUCCUUCGAAAUCACUGCGAAGUGCUGUUAAAAACUGUACCAAUCUUUGCUGCUCUCUACGCUCAAUAUAGGCACCACAUGCCUUUAAUUCUGUCGAUUCUGUAAGAGCCAAUUGAUCCCAAAGAUCUGUCAUAGCAGAAUAAAACUCUUGAAUACUCAUAUUCUUCUGAUGAAGAGCUCGUAUGUCAUUCUCUAAUUGAUACUGUUUUGCAAAAUUUGAUUGUGUGAAUAACCUUUGCAGAUGAUCCCAAACCUCUUUUGUGUCUCAUAUUUCGCCAACUGCGUACCUAUUGAAUGCUCAACAGAAUUGUUGAUCCAAGUAAUGAUCUUUGCAUUAUUUGCUUCCCAUGUAUCUAUCAAACCAGCAUCCCCCUCCUCAAUAUUCUUAGGUAUCACAUAAGUUCCACUAACAUACCCCCACAUCUUCUUACCCUUAAGGAAAUUUCUCAUUACAUAACUCCAAUAUGAAUAGUUCUUCCCAUCCAACCUCACACUCACAGACUGAAGCGAAUCAUCUCUUUCAGUAGCCAUAAUCAACAAUCACAAAUAACCAGAAUGCAAAAGCAGCGAAAGACAAAAUACUCAAUUGCAGAAACUAAACAAAUAUCUUCUCAAAAUUAUACGAUUACUCCCAAAACACAAAACAAAUUUGCAAAAAACUGAACGCAGAUACCAAAUUGCAGAAGCUGAAGGGAAGACGAAAUACCAAAAUAAUUGCAGAAACUGUCGAAAUACCAAAAUAAUUGCAGAGACUGUCGAAAUACCUAAUUUUGCAAAAGCGGAAGACAAAAUAUCACUCCAAAAAAAAAAAGUUGGAUCCGCGAAGCUGUAUUUGGGAUUAAGCUUCGUUCCAUAAAACCAGCUCUGAUACCAUGUGAAACUAAUUGAGAUCAAACACAAAAAGGAGGCUAGAAUUCUGAAUCAACUGUAUAUUAUGAAUGCAUAGUCUUAACCUAAUUACAAAUAAAGUAUAUAUAGGUUAAACUGAAAGUACUAUUCUACCCUUAAUAAAUAAGACAACAUAAAUAUUAUUUAACAAGGAAUACAAAGUUCUUCCAUCUAGCUGCAAAAGUUAUUCUCUAAACCCAAGACAACAAGGGUUUCAAUGGGAGCCAUGGGUUAAAGACACUAUCUAUGGAGCAAUCCAUUUGGCCGGAGAAGGAUGCAACUACAGAGGAGGUAAAGCUGUUUGGGACUAUGAUGGGUCAAAGGUUUCAAGACCAGAUGGAUUUACUUUUACUUUCUCAUGUAACUAUCUAGAAAAAUAAAAUUUUCAGAUGGUGAAUAUUGAAUUCUUCAGGCAUGCUAAGCUUCCAAUGGGUGUCAACACUUCUUAUAUUGCUCUUUUACCGAAACCCAAGCUACCUACCGGAUUUUCACAGUAUAGACCAAUUAGUCUGUGCAUGUUUUAUACAAAAUUAUAUACACAUGCAGGGCAAAUCAUUUUUUAUAUAUCCUCCAUAAGAAAUUAAACCACCAAGGCCAUGGCUUCCCAAAUCUUGCUCUCAUCCAUACCCACGUUAAUUCAAAAAAAAAAAAAAAGAGUUUUCCCAUUUCGAACUUAAAUUCGCCAGAUGAAAUAUUUCACAAUGGAAGAAAUCAACAUAUUUUCUCCUUUUUUCUGUUUUCCAAUAAACGAAAAUGAAUUAUAAUAAGCUCUUGAUUUUAUUUAUUUUUAAUUGGUAAUGAUAAUAAGCUUCUUUCAAUAUUGCCAUAUUAGUACAACAACUAAAAAUCUUGCUCUCAUCCAUACCUUUGUUGUUUAUUUCUUUACUUGCUUAUGCUUCCUUCCUUAUUUCUUUUGCUUACUGAUCAGCUACUGGAGCUGAAGUAGCAAAUGGAAGGACACAAGCAGAAGCUCUUCUAAGAUAUUAAAACGGGAAAAUGUAUUAAAUAAUAAAUUCUUGUUUCUUAUUCGAAACAAGAAUGCCUUGUUUUUUUUUUUUUUUGGAAAAAAUAUUUUUUUCAAAAACAUGAAGAAAAAUAAACACGCGAUUCACAUCCAAGUCAAGGACCGACAGUAUACAAAUAGUCUUCAUCUCUUAAUAAUCAGGAGUCAUGGAAUGGUGGGGUACAAGCUAGAUAUUAUUAAUUGUAAAGUUCGGAUUUCCACAUCGUAGAUAAAACCUAAAAUAAUUCGGGUAAUUAAGGGAGAGAGAUAGAGUUAGAUUUGUUGUUUAACACAAGCAAUGAAAAACUAGGAGAAAAAACAAGAAAAAUAUAUAAAAAUGCUUGAAGGAUGAUCACCCAAUGCAGGGUUUAGUAUUUUUUUUUAAUCAUGGAAUAUAAUAAUCUUGUUAUAUAAGCACAUAAUGGUGCAAAAUAAUAUAUCUCUUGUAUUUCAUAAAAAAAAAAAAUCAACCGAGAAUUAAUGGAUCCAUAGCUGAAACCCCAACAUAAAUAUUCUAAUAAUUAAUUAUGACAAAUACACGUGCUCCUCCUAUCACGCAAUUAUUGAAUGGAAGACCAUAAUAUUCUACACCUCUUCAGACGCAACUGUCUAUCUUCUUUUUACAUAAGAAAUUUUCGAUCAAGGAAAGUUUCCACCUUGUGACUCCCAUGUAUAAAUGUAUGCAGGGGACUUAAUUGAAAAAAAAAGUAAAGCUUCUUUUUUACCAUCCAAUUAUAAUAGUCAUAACAUGAGAAGAAAACUUUUUUUUUUUUUGAGACAUGAAAACUAAAAAUCCCUAAUAAUAAUAAAUAAAAUAAAAUAAAUCUUUAAAUAAAAAAUAACUAUAUUUGUUAUUAAUCAGAACCUUCAAAAAUAAAAACAUCAUAACUAUGUGGAGACACAUAAGAUGUUUAAAUUUUAUUUGCGAAAGUUUUGUUUUUAUUAAAAUAUUAAUUAUUACUAUAAAAAAAAUAGAAAACUUUAAUAAUACCGAAUAAAGUAUUAGCCAUGGUUUUGCACUUUUGCAUUGCCCCCUAAUUGCACCUUUAUGGUUUUAAAUUAAAGAAAACUUCGAUAUAAAUGUCAUUCCAAUAUUGUUUCUAUAAAAAAAAAUAACAAAAGCAUAACAGACCAAAGAAUAAGUUUUGAUUCAUUUGAUUGAUAAGAGACCAAAGAAAGGAAGAAGGAUAUAACAAAAGCAUUAACGACGUGAAUGUUGUUCCACGCUCGAAAUUUCAUGGGAAACAUCACCGUAGGUCCAUAGCUGAAGCCCGAAGACAUCCAAUCAAGAAUAGAAGACGUCCAAUUAAGACGCAGCUUCUUAAGAAAUCUUCGAUCAUGACCAAGACAAAUGAAUUCCUGCAUAUAUAUACGUAUGCAGGGCAAAUCAUUUUAUACAUCCUUUUUAAGAAAGUAAACCACCAAGGCCAUGGCUUCCCAAAUCUUGCUCUUAUCCAUACCUUCUUUGUUUUUUUCCUUACUUGCUUAUGCUUCCUUCUUUCCUUCUUUUGCUUACUCGGCUGCGGAACCUGAAGUAGCAAAUGGAAGGAAGGAAGCGGAAGCUCUUCUAGAAUGGAAAGUCACUCUUGACAACCAAAGCCAGUCUCUCCUGUCUUCUUGGGCUGGAGACAGCCCUUGCAACUGGGUUGGAAUCAGUUGCGACAAGUCUGGAAGCAUCACUACCAUAAGUCUUCCUAAUUCUAGUUUGAGAGGUACCCUAAAUAGUCUUAGAUUCUCUUCCUUUCCUAACUUGAUUGAGCUUAUCCUUCACAACAACUCGCUCUAUGGGUCCGUUCCUUCACAUAUAGGUAACCUUGUCAAACUUGACCUGUCUUCAAAUAGCAUUUCUGGCAACAUACCACCAGAAGUUGGAAAAUUGGGAUCUCUUGAUUUGCUUGAUUUGUCAAAUAACAACCUUAGUGGUGCUCUUCCUACGUCCAUAGGAAACUUAAGUAAAUUGUCAUAUCUUUACCUUUACGGCAACGAACUCUCUGGUUUCAUACCUAGGGAAGUAGGAAUGCUUGAACAUCUAUCUACCCUUCAGUUGCUCUAUAAUAAUUUUGAAGGUCCAAUCCCUGCUUCCAUAGGAAACAUGAGAUCUCUCACCACUUUACUUUUGUCAUAUAAUCAUCUAACUGGCGCAAUACCAGCAUCUUUAGGAAACUUAGGAAACCUGACUACCCUUCAGUUGCUCCAUAAUAAUUUAGAAGGUACAAUCCCUGCUUCCAUAGGGAACAUGACAUCUCUCACCAGUUUACUUUUGUCAUUUAAUCAUCUAACUGGGACAAUACCAACAUUUUUAGGAAACUUAGGAAACCUGACUACCCUUCGGUUGUCCUAUAAUAAUUUUGAAGGUCCAAUCCCUGCUUUCAUAGGAAACAUGAGAUCUCUCACCAGUUUAUUUUUGUCAUCUAAUCAUCUAACUGGUGCAAUACCAGCAUCUCUAGGCAAUUUAAGUAGCUUAUCUAGACUUGACCUUUCGCAUAACAGUCUUUUUGGUACGUUUCCUCCAGAAAUGAACAACCUUACACAUUUGUAUUUGUUACAAAUAGAUUCUAAUAGAUUGUUUGGUAAUCUACCACGAGAUGUGUGCCUUGGUGGAUUACUUUCAUAUUUUUCAGCAUUUGAAAAUUAUUUCACGGGACCUAUCCCAAAAAGCUUGAGAAAUUGCAGUAGCUUGUUGAGACUCAGACUUGAGAGAAACCAACUUAGUGGAAACAUAUCUGAAGCUUUUGGCACACAUCCUCAUUUGUACUACAUGGAUUUGAGUGAUAAUGAAUUGCACGGUGAACUUUCAUUGAAAUGGGAGCAGUUUAACAAUCUGACCGCCUUCAGAAUUUCUGGAAACAACAUAUCUGGAGAGAUACCAGCUGCUCUUGGAAAGGCAACUCAUCUACAAGCUCUUGACCUCUCGUCAAAUCAACUGGCUGGGAGAAUUCCCAAAGAAUUGGGAAAUUUGAAGUUGAUUGAACUUGCACUCAACGAUAACAGACUUUCAGGUGAUAUUCCUUUCGAUGUCGCAUCGCUAUCUGAUCUAGAAAAGCUUGGCCUGGCAGCGAACAAUUUUAGUGCAACAAUUCUUAAACAGCUUGGCAAGUGCUCAAAACUGAUAUUCUUGAAUAUGAGCAAGAAUAGAUUCACAGGGAGUAUUCCUGCCGAGAUGGGGUCUUUACAGUCUCUUCAAAGUCUUGAUCUCAGUUGGAAUUCCCUCAUGGGAGAUAUAGCGCCAAAGCUUGGACAGCUGCAGCAGCUAGAGUUUCUGAACCUCUCCCACAAUAUGCUGUCUGGUCUCAUUCCAACCAGUUUAAGUAGACUGCAAGGCCUCACUAAAGUGGAUGUAUCCUAUAACAAGCUGGAGGGUCCCAUUCCUGACAUCAAAGCCUUUCGCGAGGCACCAUUUGAAGCAAUUCGCAACAACACCAACCUGUGUGGCAAAGCAACUGGUUUGGAGGCUUGUUCUGCUCUCAUGAAAAACAAAACUGUGCAUAAGAAGGGCCCCAAAGUUGUCUUUUUGACAGUAUUUUCUCUGCUGGGUAGUUUGAUGGGCCUGAUUGUAGGUUUUCUUAUCUUUUUCCAAAGCAGAAGAAAGAAAAGGUUAGUGGAAACACCACAAAGAGAUGUUACCGCGAGAUGGUGCCCUGGUGGGGAUCUGCGCUACGAGGAUAUCAUUGAGGCAACUGAGGAAUUCGACUCCAAAUAUUGCAUUGGUACUGGAGG